CAAGUCGCCGCGGUAAUACAGAGGGUGCGAGCGUUAAUCGGAUUUACUGGGCGUAAAGCGUGCGUAGGCGGCUUCUUAAGUCGGAUGUGAAAUCCCUGAGCUUAACUUAGGAAUUGCAUUCGAUACUGGGAAGCUAGAGUAUGGGAGAGGAUGGUAGAAUUCCAGGUGUAGCGGUGAAAUGCGUAGAGAUCUGGAGGAAUACCGAUGGCGAAGGCAGCCAUCUGGCCUAAUACUGACGCUGAGGUACGAAAGCAUGGGGAGCAAACAGGAUUAGAUACCCGUGUAGUCCCUGUCUCUUAUU
This 301-nucleotide ribosomal RNA is filed under the name uncultured bacterium. RNAcentral describes it as "partial 16S ribosomal RNA". It matches the Rfam family "Bacterial small subunit ribosomal RNA", at positions 508 to 808 of the family's 1533-position model. The record is from RNAcentral.